RNAcentral lists this small RNA (96 nucleotides) under pig gut metagenome. RNAcentral's name for it is "Ribosomal protein L10 leader". It matches the Rfam family "Ribosomal protein L10 leader", at positions 11 to 127 of the family's 138-position model. Rfam says of the family: This family is a putative r-protein leader autoregulatory structure found in B. subtilis and other low-GC Gram-positive bacteria. It is located in the 5' untranslated regions of mRNAs encoding ribosomal proteins L10 and L12 (rplJ-rplL). The record is from RNAcentral.
ACUUUAAUUUCCGAAGACAGCAGGUGCAAAUAGCUUAAUUUCCUGCCGAGGGACGAUAGUGUAUAUACUAUGCCCUGCUGUCUGCAGGGCAUUUUU